GAACAAAUGCUUAUUUAAAAUGGCGGCCUGGCAAACGACAAGGGCCACUUGAGUUAAGGGUUAAGAAAUAUAUAAUAAAAAGUUUGGGAACCACUGCUGUACUGUUGUACUGACACUCGUGCCCUGAAGGCUAUGCUUUGAGCAGCCACAAAUAUUCUUGUAAAAAGAUCAACGGAUAGCUUUGUCAUUAACACUUUGACAGAGUGCCAGACCUUGUCGAAAGAUUUAAAAGCUUCCAUGUAAUAUGUCAAAGUGACUCCAAUAGAUGAAUAGAGCCGGCCACUGGAUUCCUG
Long non-coding RNA from Perca flavescens (yellow perch), 293 nucleotides. RefSeq lists it as uncharacterized. The record is from RefSeq and is a predicted model, not a curated record. NCBI's taxonomy places the organism in Eukaryota, Metazoa, Chordata, Actinopteri, Perciformes, Percidae. The transcript has 3 exons.